This 67-nucleotide transfer RNA is filed under the name Marmota monax (woodchuck). Its description in RNAcentral is "tRNA.Ala". It matches the Rfam family "tRNA". From Rfam's summary of the family: Transfer RNA (tRNA) molecules are approximately 80 nucleotides in length. Their secondary structure includes four short double-helical elements and three loops (D, anti-codon, and T loops). Further hydrogen bonds mediate the characteristic L-shaped molecular structure. tRNAs have two regions of fundamental functional importance: the anti-codon, which is responsible for specific mRNA codon recognition, and the 3' end, to which the tRNAs corresponding amino acid is attached (by aminoacyl-tRNA synthetases). tRNAs cope with the degeneracy of the genetic code in two manners: having more than one tRNA (with a specific anti-codon) for a particular amino acid; and 'wobble' base-pairing, i.e. permitting non-standard base-pairing at the 3rd anti-codon position. Lineage: Eukaryota; Metazoa; Chordata; Mammalia; Rodentia; Sciuridae. The record is from RNAcentral.
GGUUAUGGCUCAGUGGUAGAGCACUUGUUUUGCAUGCAUGAGGCACUGGGUUCGAUCCUCAGCACCA